Erinaceus europaeus (western European hedgehog) is the source of this 101-nucleotide small nuclear RNA. Lineage: Eukaryota; Metazoa; Chordata; Mammalia; Eulipotyphla; Erinaceidae. The record is from Ensembl.
GUGCUUGCUUUGGCGCACAUAUACUAAAAUUGGAAGGAUUCAGAGAUUAGCAUGACCCCUGUGCAAGGAUGACACAAGUUUGUGAAGUGUUCCAUAUUUUU